This is a long non-coding RNA of Mauremys mutica (yellowpond turtle), 832 nucleotides long. RefSeq lists it as uncharacterized. The record is from RefSeq and is a predicted model, not a curated record. The transcript has 4 exons. NCBI's taxonomy places the organism in Eukaryota, Metazoa, Chordata, Testudines, Geoemydidae.
GUGAAGAGUUCAGGCUUCAGGAGGAAGAUUCUGCACUGAGGAUAAAGAAGAGAUAAAGACAAGAUUACAAAAGGAGACAUUCACAGACAUAAACCUACUAUUAAUGAUGAAAAGGAAAUGUACAUGAGCCCAUACAAAAGCCAAAAUGGUGCAGCCAUUUCUGAGAUGCCCAGGGAAUGUGGAGGAGAAGCCUGCCUGAUUCAAAUUCAGGAAGGACAAGAGUCAAACGUGGUCUGGAGGGAGUAGAGAGGGACAAGGAGUACAUGUGGGGAAACAGGGCUGGAGACUGCCCUGGUCCACUAGAGGAUGACAACCUACUAUGAGAGUCGUUCAGAAAGCGUCUGGCUGAUGAUGCCCCUUCAUAUGCCACAAUAAAAAACUGGGCUACUGAAGUUAAGUGAGGGAGAAUCAGCACUGAGAAUGAACUAAUGUCAGGACACACCAAGUGGGCCAUCAUAUCAGAAAAAGUUGAAGCAGUCCACAAGAUGGUGAUGGAUGACAGAAGAUCAACAGUCAGGCACAUAACUGCAACAGUGGGCCUCAGCACUGAGUCUGUUCACAUCAUCCUCAGUUAAGACUUGGGGCAUAAGAAAGUGCUGUGGAAAGUUGAGUCAAGGAGUGGUGCUUCUCCAGACCAGUGCAUCACUCCACAGCACUGUGACCACAGCAACCAAAUGCAGCUUUCAGCUGCUUCCCCAAAUUUGGCGCUCUCAAACUGCUAUCUGUUCCCUAAGUUGAAGGAAGACCUUUGUGGGAAGAGUUUAAAUGAUGAUAAUGAAGUGAUCGUAGCAGUCGAGUUUCUGGACAUGCAGGACAACGACUUUUACAAGAU